GCAGUGGCGGUUCAGUGGUAGAAUUCUUGCCUCCCAUGCAGGAGACCCAGGUUCGAUACCUGGCCAAUGAG
This 71-nucleotide transfer RNA is filed under the name Loxodonta africana (African savanna elephant). It matches the Rfam family "tRNA". From Rfam's summary of the family: Transfer RNA (tRNA) molecules are approximately 80 nucleotides in length. Their secondary structure includes four short double-helical elements and three loops (D, anti-codon, and T loops). Lineage: Eukaryota; Metazoa; Chordata; Mammalia; Proboscidea; Elephantidae. The record is from Rfam by way of RNAcentral.